GGUAAGAUGGCUGAGUGUUUAAGCGGCAGAUUGUAGCUCUGUAAAUGAAGGUUAAAUUCCUCCUCUUAUCA
RNAcentral lists this transfer RNA (71 nucleotides) under Polypterus endlicherii congicus. RNAcentral's name for it is "tRNA-Tyr". It matches the Rfam family "tRNA". From Rfam's summary of the family: Transfer RNA (tRNA) molecules are approximately 80 nucleotides in length. Lineage: Eukaryota; Metazoa; Chordata; Cladistia; Polypteriformes; Polypteridae. The record is from RNAcentral.